GACGAACGCUGGCGGCGGGCUUAACACAUGCAAGUCGAACGGAAAGGCCCUGCUUUUGUGGGGUGCUCGCGUGGCGAACGGGUGAGUAACAUGUGAGUAACCUGCCCUUGACUUUGGGAUAACUUCAGGAAACUGGGGCUAAUACCGGAUAGGAGCUCCUGCUGCAUGGUGGGGGUUGGAAAGUUUCGGCGGUUGGGGAUGGACUCGCGGCUUAUCAGCUUGUUGGUGGGGUAGUGGCUUACCAAGGGUUUGACGGGUAGCCGGCCUGAGAGGGUGGCCGGCCACAUUGGGACUGAGGUACGGCCCAGACUCCUACGGGAGGCAGCAGUGGGGAAUAUUGCACAAUGGGCGGAAGCCUGAUGCAGCAACGCCGCGUGCGGGAUGACGGCCUUCGGGUUGUAAACCGCUUUCGCCUGUGACGAAGCGUUAGUGACGGUAAUGGGUAAAGAAGCACCGGCUAACUACGUG
Molecule: ribosomal RNA, 468 nt
Filed under: uncultured bacterium
Lineage: Bacteria
Description: partial 16S ribosomal RNA
Rfam family: Bacterial small subunit ribosomal RNA
Source: RNAcentral